GAAAUCUACGAGAGUCUUCCAGGCCUGCUAAGCCCAAGAAGCCGUGGUUUAACUCCAUGGAGAUUUCG
RNAcentral lists this transfer RNA (68 nucleotides) under Holothuria scabra. RNAcentral describes it as "tRNA-Ser". Lineage: Eukaryota; Metazoa; Echinodermata; Holothuroidea; Aspidochirotida; Holothuriidae. The record is from RNAcentral.